RNAcentral lists this long non-coding RNA (1228 nucleotides) under Cricetulus griseus (Chinese hamster). RNAcentral describes it as "lncRNA (ENSCGRG00015032367.1)". Lineage: Eukaryota; Metazoa; Chordata; Mammalia; Rodentia; Cricetidae. The record is from RNAcentral.
UCUCUCUCUCUCUCUCUCUCUCUCUCUCUCUGCUUCCUGCUUGCCAGAAGUUGGAGAAAUGAACUCUCAGUGGCUGCAGCUAUGUCUGUCUCCUGCUGCCACAAUCUCCCGCCCUGAUGGACUCUCAGCUCUCCAGAACUGUUACCCAGUCUAGAGAACUACUCACAGACAACCCCAGAGGUGUCUUCUAAGUGAUUCCAAGUCCAAUCAAUUCAAUGGUGAGGAUUAACCAUAGUCAUGUCUUUGCUGAAGAAAAAUGUAAUGAAACGCAGCAGUCCCAGAGCAGCAAUGAACUUAGAGUGAACAACUUCCUCACGGGGUACAUCAAAUAGGACCAGUGUGGCAGCAAGGACCCCAUCUACCUAACUCCUGUUCCCUCACACCGAAUCUCCCUUCCAGCAGGAGCAGGAGGAAAUUUCCAGGAUCCAAACCAAACCUCAGGUGCAUAAUGACAAAAAGGAUGAAGAGGAACUUGUCAUGUGCACUUCUGUCCAAUAAAACCAUCCUUUCCAGGGUGCCAUGCUGAGUUCAUUGCUUUUCUUUCGCAAAAUGAGGACUUGCUUGAGUUUUGGCUCUCAGGAAAAACCCAUAGGCAAGAGAAGCAGUUCAGAAAAUAAGGCCAGCAAAGGUGGCUGGUGAAGGUGAGAGGCACGGUGGGGAAGGAAGGCUAGAGCCAGGGUAAGAAGCGAGAAGCCGGAAGCACUGCUUUGACCUCCUGUUCUGUUUUGGAGUAACAAUUAAUCAAAAACACACUGAGCCUCCAUUUUCCUGUGAUUAUUAUUCACUCAGCCACAAGGCCACGUUCCAGGAUGAUCUUGAAUGGAGAUAUUGUACAAGCCCUGUUGGGGGAGAGACUGGUUGCUAUCAACUUUGACCACAACAGAUGUAAAAUAACGGACUGCGAUAUUCUUUGGGAAAGUUUUGAGUUCUUUUUCCUGGAAACGAGAAAAAGACAUCUUUUUUUCAUUGCUGUGCUUCUCUUUGCUCAGGGGGUUGUGCGGUUUCCAUUCAGCCUGGACUACAGAGAAAGGCUUUCUCCUGGGCGAUGAUUAGCAAUGCAAAGGGAUGGGAGGUCUGAGACACAACAUAAAGAAAUUCUAUGGCGUGCCUGCUGUAGGUUUGCCUUUGUGCCUGCUUCCUAGGGUGAAUUCAUCCCUAGCCCUUGAAAAGAUUAGGAGGAAGAUACCGGGAUUAAUAAGGAAUCUUAGAGCUGCUUGAAUUCAAUGAC